This 2152-nucleotide long non-coding RNA is filed under the name Theobroma cacao (cacao). RNAcentral describes it as "long non-coding RNA (TCAC_LNC001243)". The record is from RNAcentral. Lineage: Eukaryota; Viridiplantae; Streptophyta; Magnoliopsida; Malvales; Malvaceae.
UGUCUAAUUCAUCAAUUUAAGAUGAAGUUAUAGCUAUUCAAAUUAAAUAAAAAUAUUUCAUAAAUAUUCUAUUUUCUUAUAAAACAAUAUUUAUAGAACUCUACGUAAAUAAUUUUUGUAGCGUAAAAGCAAAAUAAAUUCAUACAUAUAGUGGCACACGUAGCCAGGUAUACAAAAUAUUCUACAAUGACAUGUGGGCCCCCAAAAUAACCAAAAUAAACAUGACUGUAAACCUGCGAUUUCUAAAGGUGCGAAUCCAACAGCAAACCCUCGACAAAAUCGACGGUCUACAUAUUUCCCUGAGCCUGAAAUGUGUGAAAGGAGGGUGGUGAGUUUUUAUAAACCCAAUGAGUAAGCAAAGUUCAUCUAUAACAUCUAAAGCCGAGUAAAUGGAGACAAUUAAAACAUCUCUUCAUAAUAUGAUUCAUAACAUUAAAACUCAUUUCAACCUUAUAAAACAAUUUACAUUUCAUCAAAAAUAAUCAGCAAGGCUUACGACUCUCUUAAAACUUGGCUCGUGCCAAACUUAUACUCGGUGACACCUUGGCUCGGGGCAUCCAACUGAGUCUGUCAAGGUUUUUAAAACAACAUAUACCCAUAAAACAUGUUUUUAUGUUAAAAGCAUAGUCGUUCCUUGGCGUUGGCUGAGAUUCACUCUCACGUGGUGGUUCAGCAUAAAGUGAACUCUAACGUUACCUUAGGAGAUACCCUCUGUGCCUCUUAUACCAAGGUAAAAUAUAACGGGGUUUAUCGUGCCCCUCUCAUAGGCCGGUCCACGAAAACUCGCCCACUACAGUAAGCUAAUCAAAUAACCCACUAAUUCAAUAAACUUUUCGACAGCAUGACAUGGCUAAUAUAAUAUUACCAGCCUGUCAAGGCAAAGCAAAACAGUUCAUAUAUUCCACAUAAACAGAAAUCCAGCCAUGAUUGCCAUCACAUUGUCAUAAACCAUCAAUUCAAACCAUAUGUCAAAACAUAUAUAUAACACAAGUAUACAGUCUCCACUUACUCAAUUUCCAAAACCAGUAUUCAAUUUCAAAAUAGUUAUAAAUCUCAUUUCAUUUAACCAACACUUUAACUAUAAAACAUAAUAGUUUGCAAUUUAAAUUCAUUGUUCUUUAAAACCUAAAAACGAGUAUAAACAACUUUAGAUAGUUAAGAUGAUCGUUUGAUUACUCACAAUAGCGGGAGUUUGGAGUGGUAGGAGUACUCCUAUUCGCGGUCCUCGAGUACGAUAUCUUUACCCUUAUUAGAGGGCUCACCACCUAUACAUAAUACACAACACGUAAUUUAAUAUAUUUGUGCCAAACUAUUAUAAAACUAUUUUAGGCUCUAUAUGAAUGCAUGACAUUGAAUGAGAAUUGUCCGAAUAAUCACUUAAAGACUGCAUUCUACGUGGGUUCAAUUGUGAUCGGAAUGAAUUUGUAUUCGAUCUAAUUCGAGCUAUACACCAUUGAUUUAACCAAAACAUUUGAUUCAACUCCAAAUAUAUUCAUUACACUCCCAAUAAUCUAAUAAACCAAAGCAUUACAACGAACUUUAUUUUUUACUAACUUCAACAUUUUUUGAAAUUCAUUCCGAUUCUGAACUAACAUACCAAUCAAUAUCUACACAGUCUCGUAAAUCCAUAUAUAUCAUUAGGAAUCAAAUCCAAGUCGAUUUACUAUGAUUUUCUCAGUUUCCAUCAAGCCAUUCUCUAAAGGAACUAUAUUUUUCAAUAAUCGGUUUUGAUAUCCAACAUCACAAUUCAUCAUUUCCUAGCUAAAUAACAUGAAUUACAACCAAAUCCAUCAUCAACAUGCCAUAUAGAAAAUUCGGCCAAAUGAGGGUUAUUGAAGGGCAUGUGAUUUUCUUGCUUGUUUUUCCUUCCAAACAUCACAAAAUGACUAAAAACACUAGGAUAUUAUGAAAUCUAGCAAAAUUCAUCACCAAAACUUCUCUCUCUAGAUUUGGCCAGCAAAGGUUCCCUAUUGAAAACUUGAAUUUCAGCCAUGGAGAGUGAAAAAAAUGCAUGGGAAAGGUAGAUCACAAGCUAAAAUUAAAAAAUCUUACCUUUACUUGCUUGAUUCCUUGAAAUCCAACAAUUUUCUUGAAUUUUUCCUUCCUAGGAUUUGUUCUUCUCUUUUUCUCUUUGUUCCCUUGCUUGGCCGGC